ACUCAAAGGAAUUGACGGGGACCCGCACAAGCGGUGGAGCAUGUGGUUUAAUUCGAGGCAACGCGAAGAACCUUACCAGAUCUUGACAUCCUGAUCGCCGCUCUUGUAAUGAGAGCUUCAGUUCGGCUGGAUCAGAGACAGAUGCUGCAUGGCUGUCGUCAGCUCGUGUCGUGAGAUGUUGGGUUAAGUCCCGCAACGAGCGCAACCCUCAUCUUUAGUUACCAUCAGGUUAUGCUGGGGACUCUAAAGAAACUGCCUGCGUUAAGCAGGAGGAAGGCGGGGAUGACGUCAAGUCAGCACGGCUCUUACGGUCUGGGCUACACACGUGCUACAAUGGUGGUGACAAUGGGCAGCAAAUCCGCAAGGAGGCGCUAAUCUCAAAAAGCCAUCUCAGUUCGGAUUGUCCUCUGCAACUCGAGGGCAUGAAGCUGGAAUCGCUAGUAAUCGCAUAUCAGCAGGAUGCGGUGAAUACGUUCCCGGGUCUUGUACACACCGCCCGU
RNAcentral lists this ribosomal RNA (500 nucleotides) under uncultured bacterium. Its description in RNAcentral is "partial 16S ribosomal RNA". It matches the Rfam family "Bacterial small subunit ribosomal RNA", at positions 899 to 1397 of the family's 1533-position model. The record is from RNAcentral.